CCUACGGGCGGCAGCAGUGAGGAAUAUUGGUCAAUGGCCGUAAGGCUGAACCAGCCAAGUCGCGUGAAGGAAGAAGGAUCUAUGGUUUGUAAACUUCUUUUAUAGGGGAAUAAAGGUAUCCACGUGUGGAUAUUUGCAUGUACCCUAUGAAUAAGAAUCGGCUAACUCCGUGCCAGCAGCCGCGGUAAUACGGAGGAUGCGAGCGUUAUCCGGAUUUAUUGGGUUUAAAGGGUGCGUAGGUUGUUUUUUAAGUCAGCGGUGAAAGUUUGUGGCUCAACCAGAAAAUUGCCGUUGAAACUGGAAGACUUGAGUGUGUUUGAGGUAGGCGGAAUGCGAGGUGUAGCGGUGAAAUGCAUAGAGAUCACGAAGAACUCCGAUUGCGAAGGCAGCUUACUAAGCCAUAACUGACACUGAAGCACGAAAGCGUGGGGAGCAAACAGGAUUAGAUACCCUUGUAGUC
Molecule: ribosomal RNA, 460 nt
Filed under: uncultured bacterium
Lineage: Bacteria
Description: partial 16S ribosomal RNA
Rfam family: Bacterial small subunit ribosomal RNA
Source: RNAcentral